RNAcentral lists this ribosomal RNA (1282 nucleotides) under uncultured bacterium. RNAcentral describes it as "bacterial SSU rRNA". It matches the Rfam family "Bacterial small subunit ribosomal RNA", at positions 93 to 1399 of the family's 1533-position model. The record is from RNAcentral.
GAGUGGCGGACGGGUGAGUAACGCGUGGGGAACCUGCCCCAUACCGGGGGAUAACAGCCGGAAACGGCUGCUAAUACCGCAUAAGCGCACAGUACCGCAUGGUACGGUGUGAAAAACUCCGGUGGUAUAAGAUGGACCCGCGUUGGAUUAGCUAGUUGGCAGGGCAGCGGCCUACCAAGGCGACGAUCCAUAGCCGGCCUGAGAGGGUGAACGGCCACAUUGGGACUGAGACACGGCCCAGACUCCUACGGGAGGCAGCAGUGGGGAAUAUUGCACAAUGGGGGAAACCCUGAUGCAGCGACGCCGCGUGGAGGAAGAAGGUCUUCGGAUUGUAAACUCCUGUUGUUGAGGAAGAUAAUGACGGUACUCAACAAGGAAGUGACGGCUAACUACGUGCCAGCAGCCGCGGUAAAACGUAGGUCACAAGCGUUGUCCGGAAUUACUGGGUGUAAAGGGAGCGCAGGCGGGAAGACAAGUUGGAAGUGAAAUCUAUGGGCUCAACCCAUAAACUGCUUUCAAAACUGUUUUUCUUGAGUAGUGCAGAGGUAGGCGGAAUUCCCGGUGUAGCGGUGGAAUGCGUAGAUAUCGGGAGGAACACCAGUGGCGAAGGCGGCCUACUGGGCACCAACUGACGUUGAGGCUCGAAAGUGUGGGUAGCAAACAGGAUUAGAUACCCUGGUAGUCCACACCGUAAACGAUGAUUACUAGGUGUUGGAGGAUUGACCCCUUCAGUGCAGCAGUUUACACAAUAAAGUAAUCCACCUGGGGGAGUACGACCGCAAGGUUGAAACUCAAAGGAAUUGACGGGGGCCCGCACAAGCAGUAGAGUAUGUGGUUUAAUUCGACGCAACGCGAAGAACCUUACCAAGUCUUGACAUCAUGCGACGAUGCUGGAAACAGUAUUUUCCUUCGGGACGCAGAGACAGGUGGUGCAUGGUUGUCGUCAGCUCGUGUCGUGAGAUGUUGGGUUAAGUCCCGCAACGAGCGCAACCCUUACUGUCAGUUACUACGCAAGAGGACUCUGGCAGGACUGCCGUUGACAAAACGGAGGAAGGUGGGGAUGACGUCAAAUCAUCAUGCCCUUUAUGACUUGGGCUACACACGUACUACAAUGGCGUUAAACAAAGAGAAGCAAGACCGCGAGGUGGAGCAAAACUCAGAAACAACGUCCCAGUUCGGACUGCAGGCUGCAACUCGCCUGCACGAAGUCGGAAUUGCUAGUAAUCGUGGAUCAGCAUGCCACGGUGAAUACGUUCCCGGGCCUUGUACAAACCGCCCGUCA